GACCCCUGCAUGUUUCUGAAUUCAGGGAGGCCUUCUUAACCCCUUUAGACCUAAAGUACUUCCCUAUGCUAAGAAUGGCAUUUACUUCUGAAAGAGUACUUGUCUAAAUAACACGGACCCGCGGGCAGGGGAUUUCCCCACGGCAAGGGGCUACACAAUCACUUGCUAAAAGGAACAAGUAAUAGGAUUGAAGCAAUUAAAGCUCGAAUAUCAUAUUUUAACAAAGGAAGUAGGGAAGAAAUAACUUAUUUAAACUUAGGAUCGACAAAGCAGUUGUGUCUUCACUGCUUCUCCCGGGGCUCCUUCGGGCUUUUUGCUUCUCUUUGGUGGGGAGGAUUUCCAGGAUGCCGAGUUUAAUGCUGCCCUCCAAGCCCACCAGCAAGAUGUUAAAAGUGUCCCUGAAUUCCUCCACAUUUCCUGACAGCCAGAUCCCAUUGUACAGUGCAUUGCUGACCCCUUUAACAGCAACGACAAAAAAAUAGUACAAGUUCAACUCUAUGGAAACCUGCAUAAAGGAAUGUACAGCAUUUUUGCAUUGGGGGGCGGGGGGGAAAUGCAGUCAAGCUGAGUUCCUCGGUCCCUGAUUAUUACAGCAAGGGGCUGAUCCUGCUCGUGCUGAACACGUGCCAAAAGCCAGGGACGAGCGGCAGAAGCCAGAGUCGCUCAGCACCUUCCAGGAUUAGAGCCUUUGCGCUGAGCUCUGGGCUGGCUUGGAUGGAUCCUGCCUGGUGCUAAGAGCCGCCUGGGAGGACCAGACUAAGGAUCCCCUGCCCAGAGGCACAUUUCAGCUGUGAGGGAGCAGAGUGGACCUCUAAGGAGCCAGGCACUGGUUUGCAUCGGACAGACAGAGCAGUCUCUGCUUUGCUGUGUCCUCCUCCAUCCGCAGGGAUAUUCUCCAGGGACAGGUCAGUUUGAAUGAGGAUAACAGCGAGGUGCAGGCCUGGCAUGUGCUCAGGCUGAGUGCUCAGCACAUCUUUCGUGAGAGCCGGUGAUGUUUCUCUGGGAACGUGAGU
Strigops habroptila (Kakapo) is the source of this 1013-nucleotide long non-coding RNA. RefSeq lists it as uncharacterized. The transcript is spliced from 3 exons. The record is from RefSeq and is a predicted model, not a curated record. NCBI's taxonomy places the organism in Eukaryota, Metazoa, Chordata, Aves, Psittaciformes, Psittacidae.